GGAUGCGGAUCUCGAAAGCCUGUCCCAGUUCGGACUGGAGUCUGCAACCCGACUCCACGAAGUUGGAUUCGCUAGUAAUCGCGCAUCAGCCAUGGCGCGGUGAAUACGUUCCCGGGCCUUGUACACACCGCCCGUCAAGCCAUGGGAGCCGGGGGCGCCUGAAGUCCGGGACCGCGAGGACCGGCCUAGGGCGAAACUGGUAACUGGGCUAAGUCGUAACAAGGUACC
RNAcentral lists this ribosomal RNA (228 nucleotides) under uncultured bacterium. RNAcentral describes it as "partial 16S ribosomal RNA". It matches the Rfam family "Bacterial small subunit ribosomal RNA", at positions 1263 to 1500 of the family's 1533-position model. The record is from RNAcentral.